UCUAGAGUGGCAGAUUAGUGCAUUGGAUUUAAGCCUCAAAAAUAAAUUUUUAAAAAUUUUUUUAGAA
RNAcentral lists this transfer RNA (67 nucleotides) under Curculionoidea sp. 26 KM-2017. RNAcentral's name for it is "tRNA-Leu". Lineage: Eukaryota; Metazoa; Arthropoda; Insecta; Coleoptera. The record is from RNAcentral.